This 465-nucleotide ribosomal RNA is filed under the name uncultured bacterium. RNAcentral's name for it is "partial 16S ribosomal RNA". It matches the Rfam family "Bacterial small subunit ribosomal RNA", at positions 28 to 507 of the family's 1533-position model. The record is from RNAcentral.
GACGAACGCUGGCGGCGUGCUUAACACAUGCAAGUCGAACGGAAAGGCCCUGCUUGCCGGGUACUCGAGUGGCGAACGGGUGAGUAACACGUGGGUGAUCUGCCCUGCACUUCGGGAUAAGCCUGGGAAACUGGGUCUAAUACCGGAUAGGAGCCAUUUUUAGUGUGAUGGUUGGAAAGUUUUUUCGGUGUAGGAUGAGCUCGCGGCCUAUCAGCUUGUUGGUGGGGUAAUGGCCUACCAAGGCGGCGACGGGUAGCCGGCCUGAGAGGGUGGACGGCCACAUUGGGACUGAGAUACGGCCCAGACUCCGACGGGAGGCAGCAGGGGGGAAGAUUGCACAAUGGGCGCAAGCCUGAUGCAGCGACGCCGCGUGGGGGAUGACGGCCUUCGGGUUGUAAACUCCUUUCGCUAGGGACGAAGCUUUUUGUGACGGUACCUAGAUAAGAAGCACCGGCUAACUACGUG